AUUCCUGUGGCAGCACAUGCUUGAGGCUCCAUCCGCAGGGUGAGAGAGAUGUCUGUCCAUAUCUCAAAGCAGGCUGAGUUGUGGGCUGGUUGUAGAAGGAGAAAGAAGCCCCCAGCCCAGUGCAAGCAGGCAGCCCUCAGCUUGCACCUGAUGUCCCCUCCCUGCAGGUUCCUGUCCUUGAGCCCAGGCCCUGAGGUGAGGCUGAGAAUAAGUGCAAGGCAGAGGUGCUGCUGAGGAAGGAGAGCCCCGUGGUGGGGAGGGCACAAAGCUGUGAGUGCCCAUCCCCGAGCAGGUGCUGUGUCCAUCCCCUGUGUGCCAGGAUUUGUCCUUCCCAAAGCUUGGGCAGAUGAAGGAGGCUGCGAGGAAGAGGAAGAUGCCUUGGGCCCCCCAGGCAGGCCCCGAGCUGAGGACGGAGAGCCCGGAGGACAAAUCCCCCCGGCAGACCCUGGUGGGAGAGGCCGUUUUGAAGGGCUCCCCAGCCCAGGAAGGCAGCGGGGAGGAAAAGGGCCGGAGAUCCCCCCACAGGAGGGGCUCCAAAGCCAGCCCAGGGUGCUCUGAGGAGGAAAGAGCCAGCCUG
This is a long non-coding RNA of Pseudopipra pipra, 577 nucleotides long. RefSeq lists it as uncharacterized. Lineage: Eukaryota; Metazoa; Chordata; Aves; Passeriformes; Pipridae. The record is from RefSeq and is a predicted model, not a curated record. The transcript is spliced from 4 exons.